Molecule: long non-coding RNA, 7444 nt
Filed under: Trifolium pratense (red clover)
Lineage: Eukaryota; Viridiplantae; Streptophyta; Magnoliopsida; Fabales; Fabaceae
Description: long non-coding RNA (TPRA_LNC003819)
Source: RNAcentral
UGGGAUAAGUCCGUAGACAAAAAGUGCGGCUGCAGAAGCGAUUCUUGGUGAUUGUCCGAUUAAGAUAAGAAUUUGUUCGCUAAAGAUGUAAAUAACGGUUAGAAAAAAACCGGUUAUUGUUAGAAGAAUGGUUGAUCUUUGUAAAUAUAAUCCUAGCAUGUCAAAUUUUUCUGCUCCAAAUGCUUGUCCACACAGUGUCUCAACUGCACUUCCCAUACCCAACUGUAACAACAAUAAAUUAAAUUAGUUUUAAUAACAAUAAUAAUAAUAAUUUUUUUUUUGAAAAAACUAAAAUGAGAUAUAUUACCAUAACAGCCUCCCCAGCACAAAAUGUGCCAAGAGAGACUAUAAGAAUUUACAAAUAGUCAUAGAAACAAAAACAAAAUCAAAUCAUACAAAGCCCAAACAAUAAUAAUAAAAUUGUCAAAUGUUAAUAAUAAAUUACUUUUUUUACUAGAUACAAAUCAUGAUAUUGAUAAUAAAUGGUCCAUAAUAUAAUUGAUAUUUUAUUUUAUAAAAAUAUGUGGGUAGAAAAAAAUAUUGUGGAUAGUAUACAAAAAAUAUUGGCAAACUUUUAUUAUUAAAAAAUAAAUAAAUUUUGAGUAAAAAGAAAUUAUAAAAAAAAGUUUUCGAACCUUUACCAACGAAAAAUGGCUGUUGGUAAUACAUGGGUGUAGCUCUCAUACUUUUCCCAACGACAUAAAAUACUGUAGCUAUAGGCUAUUAGGAGGAAUUUCCGUUGAUAUAGCCAAAUAAAGACGACGGAACAAAAUGCUCUUUACAAUAACCAGUUGAGAUAGAUACUUACCAUGAGACCAUAAGCAAAGAUUUGGAUACCGGUGUUACCGAGAGAUGCGGCGGCGAGUUCAAGAGUCCCAAGGUGGCCGGAUAAGAUUUGAGUGGACAUAGACAUAACAUAGUUAAUGAGAUAAACAAAAACAGCAGGGGCAGCUAUGAUGAACAAUAGUUUAAGCUCAAUCCAGGAGGCAGAGCCGAUACGGUUGAAGUAUGGCACGGUGGUGUCAGAUAGUAUUCUCUCAAGCUCGCCAUCGGAUUCAUGCUGCUUCGACGGCGUAGCAAUACUAUGAGAGAAUAAAAGUGGUUCCUCAGCGACAUUUUUGUUGGAUGAAUCCAUUAAAUAUUAAUUAUCUGAAUGAAUUAUUGUUAUCAAACAGUUGUUUGAGACCUUAGAAAUGAUUAUAUAUAAUCUCAUAUUUGAUGGACCAGAGGCUGCUUUCUCACAUCAACUUGCAUAUCUCACACACACACACCCUAUAGCUAUAAUCAUUAAUCAGUAUAGUACCGUACGUUAAAUAUACCGUUUAUUCUUGUUCAAAACAAAAUAUUUGUUUAUAGAAAAUAAAUUGAUCCAAGUGGUAAAAAUUUUGGUCCUUUUAAGUAUGUGAUUACAUGUUUGAUUUCUGGCUCAUAUGUAAGGAGAAAAUUCGGUUGGGAGGUAAGAACUCACCUUGUGUGUUCCACAGAUUCUCGGACGGAGAUUAAUCAAUACUAACCGCGGUGAAAACUCUGCACCAAUUUCAUGAAAACCUUUUUUAAAAAAAUUAUGAUUUUUUUUUGUUUUCAUGACUAAAAUAAUGACUUACGUAAGUUCAAUAUGACUUUACAUUUUAAUUAUCCGUCGUUUUAAUCAAAUCGGUAUCAAUUAAGUUAUUUUUUAAAUUGAUGAAUAAUUUGCAAGUGUACAAAUAGCCGUCAAGUAGUAUAAAAAUCGUUCUUUCCACAGGGAUUGUUGUAAUUCAAAAACUAAUUGAAUUCAUAUUUAAACAUAUAAAUUUCAAUGUAAAAAUGAGGGGGAAUUUGUUGAUUCAAAUUUCGAUCACAAGAAUUGGAAAUAACUUAAGAUUAAAAUCAAUAGGAGAACAGCGAUUGGUCCUUUUGGUUCAUCUAAUUACUACUUCUCUUGGUAAUUUCAUGUAUAAUAACGAAUUUACUAAAUUUAGUUUCACGAUUAGAUUAAAUCAAAAAUAAUUAUGCCCAAUGUCUUGGUAACAUAAUUCUCUCCCUUGAUCAUCGAUCCCUAAUGUCUUAGGUAAUCUAUGAUCAAUUGAGGUUUACAACUUUUAAUCCUUUANNNNNNNNNNNNNNNNNNNNNNNNGUUAAUUGAUCAAUCGUUCCUAGAUCGAUCAUUCAUUCCUAUCGUCAUAGUAAAACAAAUAAUUGAAAACAUUACACAAUUGAUCAAGUUAUGCAAAGCAUUAAGAACAAGGAAUGAUUAAAGAAACUAACUUCGUAAUUCAUUAAUUAUAACAUAUGAUAAUCACAUAGUUCAAGAGAAAUAAUAAUAAGAAUCCCCUAAGGAUCAAUCAUGAGAAUUUAGUUACACAUAGUAAUAAAAAACAUUACAAUCAAAGAAAUGAAAGAAAGCAUGAUUACAAGAUGAUCUUGAUGUGUUUCCACCUUCAAAUCCUUGUCUCCAAGCUCCUUGAUCUUCAAAAGUUCUCAAAAUUGAUGUUUCCAAUGCUAAUUUUCGAUCCACUAUCUCAGAUCUGCGUUUUUCUUUUAUAACCGGAGUCAAUAAAUGAGAAUUUCGCCUCAGGCACAAGCAUUUUUGCCCCAGGCACAGAAUUUUCGCCUGAGGCACCAACAUUUUCGCCCCAGGCGAACAGGCAAACAGAGAGGUACUUUUUCUGGUGAAAUUUUCGCCUGAGGCACAUGAUUUUUCGCCUCAGGCGAAAUAGUAAACAGAGAGGUACUUUUUAACUGGAACUUUUCGCCUCAGGCACAGGAUUUUUCGCCUGGGGCGAAAAAAAUAGAAUAUUAGCUAUUUUUCUUCAUUCUUCAGCUACUUUCAUCCUUUGCAAAUAUCUUCAAACUAGUGCAUUAUUCUUCCAUAAAAUGAGUUACAAUUUUUCUAAAAACACUUGAAAUUGGUUUUAUUUUCAUGUAAUGACGCAUGUCAUCACAAAUCAUAAAAAAAAUCAUAUAUUUAUACUUUUAAAAAACAACAUAUGUCCUCAUUAAAAUUUUAAAUUAUUUUUUAAAUAUGGAUCAACUAUUUGUUAGAAGUGAUCUACUUUAAAAUUUUCCUUAUGGCUAUUGAUUAUAUAAUUUGAUAUUCUUGUUUGAUUGAGCCAACUGUGCACGUGCUUUCUCACCAACCUCCUUUCCAUGUCACACCCUAUAAUCAAUAGUAGCACCCCUCCAUUUCAAAAUAUAAAUAAAAAUAAGUUAAAGAAAUUUGAUAUACUUAGAUUAAAAUUGAAAAAAUAUAUUUCGAAGUUAUUUUUUAAAGCAAGAAAAUUUGAAAAAAGCAUUCGGAAAUAUUUAUUCAAAGAUAAAAAUAAAAAACCGAUAAAAUUCUUUGUUGAAACCAAAGUGUUUGAGAAAUAUGGCCUAGACCAAGACAUGUAGACACACUGGCCCAAGAUUUGACUUGAUUGGUCAUUAUCAUGAUGUUUUCUCUCUAGGCCUUCCGUGUAUUUUUUAUACCCUAAAUAUUUCAAUUUUGUCCUUGAUAAAAAUUUCGGUUCGCAGAAAUCGAAGUUUUUCUAGUUCAAAUUCAAGGAAAAUUCGGUUAAAAGAAACCAAAAUUUUUUCCAAGGCAAAAAAAAUUUGAUUUGUAACAACCAAAAUUUUUAUUGAAGUGCAAAAAAGUAAAAUCCGAGGGGGAAAAGAACCAUGGGAAGCCUAAAGAGAAAACAUUCAUUAUCAUUUCACGAAGGAACAAACCACAAAUCAAAAGAAAAUAUGGGGACUCAUGUAUGGUUGUGAUCAUCCUUAUUUCUUAGUCAGAUAAGAAUAAGAUGUUCUCUACUCACUUCACCCUUCUACUUCUACUUCUACUUCUGAGUGAUGUUAAUAUUUUGGAGUUGGACUGAGCAUAGAUCGGUUUUGGUUCAAAAAAUCGUUAAAUCGGAAGAAGAAAAUGAAUUGAACAUGUCAUUAUGAGGAAAAAAUUUAAGAAAAAAUGAUGUGCAUCGACCCAAUCCGAUUUACCAAACCAGCUGAAUCACAUAUUUUCACCAAUUUUGACCGAAUUUCGCCAAUUUUAUUGUAUAACCAAUUCAUUAUGCAAAUCGACUCAAUCAUACAACUGAUUUUUGAUCCAACUAAUCACUCGGAAUUGGUUUUUAAAACAUCGUAAAUAGUAAACCCGGCGAAUUAAUCAUUCUCAUUUGCUUCAAUUUAAAAAAUAGUCUAUUUUGUUUUUACUUUCUAACAACUACAUAAAACUAAUCCAAUUUUUUAGUUUAGUAGGGGCUCCUUUCUCUCCUCCCAUUUGUUCAACCUCUUGGCUGCUUCUUCAACCUAAAAAACAACAAAGUUUUUCAUUAGAAAAGUUACAACAACUCUCCCAUUUAAUUUAAAGCCACCAUAGUGACCUUAGCAAGUUGUCUUUUACCUCUUUAUUCCAAUUUGUUCUAAAUGUGACCCACAUUAAAAUAAUUGUCUGCAUAGUUGUUCCACCAAGCAUUCCAAGCCAUAUUCCCUAUCACAAAGAUCCCAUGUUAGUAAAAAUAUUAUGUAGUAUUUGUUUUUAAUUUUUUGAAAAAGGAAAAAUGAAAGAAUAUUCAAAAACACUAUUCCAAAAUACUACUCGGUGUUCAAAUACAUCGAUCAAUUUUCUUUGAUUAAUUUUUAUUUAUAUUUGAGAUCAGAUGUGUAUCUUGUAAAUUAUGAAACAUAUAUAUCAUACCUUAGCGCCAAAAUUGAAAUAAAAUCCGAGAACCGCACCCAAUGGUAUACCAACUAUAUAAUAGCAACCCACAUUCACAUAAGCAACAAAUGCUUGCCAUCCACAGCCAACAGCAACCCCUUCAUUUUAUUCAUGUUAAAAUUAAUAUAUGUAUAUUAUAUUUCAUUAGUUACUAAUUAACAAAAUUAAUCAAUAAUUAAGUAAUGAAAUUACCAGAUAAGACAGGUUGAAUGCCAUUGAGGACAAGAGAAAGAGAGAGGAGUGGACAAAGAUCUGAGACAGCAGCAGCAACAACUUCACCCUCUGUGAAGACAUAGCUAAUAACAUCUCUCAAUGCAAGCACAACCAAUGCUGCUAUUACUGAUAUUACAAAUGAUAUCAAUGUCACCACCACAACUGAAAAUGAUGCUGAUUUUGGAUUUUUUGCUCCUAGUUCAUUGCUCACUCUCACACUGCAUGUUAAUAAUUAAUUUGUCAGGUUAAUUAAAUAACUAUGAAGCAGUGACGCAAACAUGAACAUUAGACAUGACACCAACAUCAAUAUCAAUAUGUAGGAACCAAUAAUAAUUUUAUAAAUAUAAAUAAUUGUAUGCAAUUAUAAAUGUCAUGUCACAUAUUAGACUCUCGGACAUACUUUUAAUCUAAAGUGACAGUGCUGCUAGAUAGUUAAUUAAAUAAUAAACAAGUUAGUAAGAAUUUGUAAAUAAAUUAAAUAACUAGAAUCUAACCUUGCAGCUGCAUUGAAUCCAACUGAGAUCAUGAACACCCAUCCAGAAAUUGUGGUACUGCAAUCAUAAACAAUAUUAUUAAACAAACAAAUUGACAGUAAGCAGUUGGCAGAGCAAAUUGGACCACAAUAGAAAUGUUCAUAUUUUUUAGUUUGCCUAGGACAAAUUAAUGCCAAUAAAUAAAGGAUCUCGCUAACAAAUGUUUUUUUGGAGACACUUGUUAAGGAAAAAAAAUGAAAAAAAAAUGUGUUGAAAAAUCUAAAAUUUAAAUUUUUAUAAUGUUUAAUGUACAACUUUUUUAAAAAAUAUUUUUAUAUUUUAUUUCUUAUCUAAUGCCUCAAAACACUUGUUUGCAUUUACCUAAUUAUUAUUAUUAAACCUUCAAAUCUAAGAAUCUACUCAUGUGACAUUAGAAAAUCUAAGACUCUCAGGGGCAUGUGAAAAUAGUACAGUAUAAAUAGACAAAUCAUUGUACCCAAAAAAAAAUAAAAAAUAGACAAAUCAAUAUUCCAAUGGCUCCAUGCCCCCAUAACUUAAUAAUAAUAGGACAAGUUUGAUAAUUUGUGUCCCAAUUGAUGUUCUAGAAAUUUGCAUAACCAUAUAUCAUCAUUCAAUUCAAGUCAUGAUGGGGUAAAAUAGAUAAAUUAUGUAUCAACAAAAAAUGUCAUAACAUAGAAUGUGAAAUUUUGAGGUGUGAGCCUUUUUUUUCCUUAUCUUCUUUGUUUUUUUCCUAUUUGAUCUUAGCCUAUGCUAAUGGUAAUGAUAUGGAUAAGGAUUGAGUGACAGUACUGCAGGAAGAUUUAUAUAUAAGUAACAAAAAAUAAUGUAAGCUUUCUUGUCCAUAUAGAAUAAAGGACAAGAAGUUAUAUAUAAGUAACAACAAAUUUAUGUGGCACACUCAAGAAAAGGCUUAAAAAAAUUUACAUAAGGGUGCUAAUUAAGCUCUUCAAGUAACAAUAGCAUUUUGAUUCUUUGAAUGAUAAGUUUCCUUCUUUAGAGCUUAUUAGAGCUUUCAAAAAUUUAUGGCGCCACCAACCAACUACCUUAAUUUCAUUAUCUCACAUACAACUCGAACAUUAGUAGUGUUAUCGACACUUAUUUUAACACGACUCAUUCUCUUAUUAGGACUUAUUUUUAAAGUGGAGGAACCCAAAUAUUCGAUCGCAUCCAAUAAAAAAAUGAGUGUUAAAAAUAGAGUAUUAGAGUGAGUAUUAUACGAAAAAAGCAAAAAUUUAUAAGAUAAAAUAGUUAAACUCUCAAUUAAUGACGGAUUAACUUAAAAGAAAAGUAACAAAAACAAGAAGAAAAAUAUAAUUGAGAAACUUUACCAGAUAGAAAGAGAAUCAAGAGCGAUCUCAGGGUUAGGAAGAAGCCCAGCAAGCAAAACAAGAAUCUGAAAAUACCAAGAUUCAAGACACAACAUAACCGCCGAUNNNNNNNNNNNNNNNNNNNNNNNNNNNNNNNNNNNNNNNNNNNNNNNNNNNNNNNNNNNGAAAAUACCAAGCUUCAAGACACAACAUAACCGCCGAUGCCGCGGACAGUUUAAAAAACUCGGGCAACCCGGAAAAGGCCUCCAAACUAAAUCCUUUCCAUGUCCUCUUACACUUUUCACUCUUCAAAAUAUAAACAAACUGAGCAACAACAAUAAUCCACCAAGACAAACUCAAAACCAAUGAAGCACCCAAUAAGCCUAAACCAAUCUUAAACACAACAACCCAACUUAGUAUCAAAUGAACAACUAAAGUUGCUGCUGAAAUAUAAGCACUUGGUAGAACAAUGCUUUGUGCUUGAAGGAAUUUUUGGAUUGGAAAAUUGACUGCAUAAGCGAAUAUUUGUGGGAUAAGUCCGUAGACAAAAAGCGCGGCUGCAGAAGCGAUUCUUGGUGAUUGUCCGAUGAAUACUAGGAUUGGUUCACUUAAGACAUAAAUAACGGUUAGAAAAAAACCGGUUAUUGUUAGAAGAAUUGUUGAUCUUUGUAAAUAUAUUCCUAGCAUGUCGAAUUUUUCUGCUCCAAAUGCUUGUCCACAUAGUGUUUCAACUGCACUUCCCAUACCCAACU